CUUUUUUUGCAUCCGUCAAUAACUGGCUGAUGCAUUUCAAGCAAGCUACAGCGCCGAAACUACCUCCAGAUAGUUAUUAUGGGCAUAACUUUGUAGCAAAUAAAUUACUUGAAAGCGUCGUACUAUUUACCGAUUAUUCCUUGGUUCUGGCCAGUUAUUAUUACAGCUAACAGCGAUGUGCUGUUCAGACUUUGGCUGAGUUCGAUGUCUUUCGACGGAUGCAGCUACUAUAGUGAUCUGGGCUGGAGCAGAUGUGUUGAUUUGUACUGGGCGCGACGAGCUGUAUGUCUUCAACACACAAGAACUGAAACUGACGUUCCUUAGUCCAGUGGAUCAUUUGGUGCGGAGUGAGGACAAGCAGUGUGUCUGUGCUGUCUGUGAGAGUGAUGGGGUGUACUGUGUCGAUCUACCAACUCUGCACCCCAGGUCUCCCACUCCCCCAGCUGACCAGUCCCCUGGCCCUGCUCUAUUCAAAAUGUUGUCUAAUUCGCUGGCAGCCAGAUACAAGGGUGUGUGUUCUCUGAUUGAGGUGGAGGGUCCGUCUCCCUGCGAGAUGCAGUCUGGGUGUUCACUUUCUAUAACGCUGCUGACCAACGGAAACUGACUGGAGUUUAGUCUACCUGUCAUUACUGUUGGUCACCAUGAUGACUCAGAAGAAAAUGACAGCGCAGGAGUGGUCAUGCAACCUGUGUUGGCUUGCGUUUACAGCAGUGAUACACCAACAUCUUCAACAACAACAACCACCAUUUUCAUCAUUAUCAUCAUCCUCACCUGGCGUUGGCCAUUUUCUCCUGGAGCCUCUCCUCUUCAAGCUCCUCUUCGGCGUCGAAGCUGCCCUCAUCAACUCCCCUAUGAUCCUUUGCAGCCUGCUUAAUGGGCGUCUCUGCUCCCUCCGGGAUGACCAGGCCUCCGUGUCAGAGUACUACACAGCCCAGAGCAGCCAAUCACUUUUAUUGUAACCUUAGCCAGAACAAAUGGUGGUCCACAGUGUUUGGUAUCAGUGGGCGACGGGGCAGGGUGGUGCUGGUUAGGACCUAUGAGGAGAGGCCGUAUGGGAGGAGUAAGGUAGCAAGCUUCAGGUAGGGGUGUGUGUCGCGGCAUGUGGUGUGUGUGUUUGUGCGCAGGCAGGAAAGGCCUGUACAAUAGCACCGGCUCAGAUACUCUAGCCCUGGAUCUCCCAGGGGAGCGAGAGGCAGCUCCAAGCCCAUGAGAGAGACUGAUGGUAGGCCACUGUGAGAGGCAAGACCAGGGUCAGGCCAUGGAUAGACCCAGAGAGUAUGCUGUCCUGUCAGCCUGAAUGUCUGCAUGGUCAUCAUCCUGGCUGGGCCCCUCACACAACGCCUCAGGUUGUGUGUGUGUGUUACAGGCACAGUGCAGCUGGUGGCGUUGUCUCUCAGAGGGAGGCUCCAGCUGUUGAGGUAACUGUAGGGGACACCAGUUUGAAGGAGGUUAAGGAGGCCGUGGAGGUGCAGUGUGUGGACUACACAUCAGCGGACUUGCCCUCCACAAUCACAAGACCUCAACCCAAUUGUGAUGAGUUGGACUGCAGAGUGAAGGAAACGCAGCCAACAAGUGCUCAGCAUAUGUGAGAACUCCUUCAAGACUGUUGGAAAAGCAUUCCAGGUGAAGCUGGUUGAGAGAAUGCCAAGAGUGCAAAGCUGUCAUCAAGGCAAAGGGUGGCUACUUUGAAGAAUCUCAAAUAUAUUUUGAUUUGAUUAAUGCUUUUUUGGUUACUACAUGAUUCCAUGUGUUAUUUCAUAGUUUUGCGGUCUUCACUAUUAUUCUACAAUAUAGAAAAUAGUAAAAAUAAAGAAAAAUCCUGGAAUGAGUAGGUGUGUCCAAAAUUUGGUUGCAAUUUCUAUUCCAAGAAAAACUAAAAACCCUCUGGGUUUCCAUUAGGAUGGAAUGGGAAAAUACGGUGAUGUACAACGUGACGGUUGGUUGUACAGUACUGGGCUAUUUAGCUGUGGUUGCCGCCAGUUGUUUUUUAAAUUUAACCUUUAUUUAACUUGGCAAGUCAGGUAAGAACAAAUUCUUAUUUACAAUGAAGGCCUACCCCGGCCAAACCCAGAUCGCGCUGGGCCAACUGUGCACAGCCCUAUGGCACUCCCAAUCCCGGUUGGAUGUGAUACAGCCUGAAUUCGAACCAGGGACUGUAGUAAAGCCUCUUGUACCGAGAUGCAGUGCCUUAGACCAUCCCACAUACACUCCUCAUCCAUAACUUCUUCAUUCUCUGACACUGGUACCAUCCCACAUACACUCCUCAUCCAUAACAUCCUCAUUCUCUGACACUGGUACCAUCCCACAUACACUCCUCAUCCAUAACAUCCUCAUUAUCUGACACUGGUACCAUCCCGCAUACACUCCUCAUCCAUAACAUCCUCAUUAUCUGACACUGGUACCAUCCCACAUACACUCCUCAUCCAUAACAUCCUCAUUCUCUGACACUGGUACCAUCCCACCUACUCCUCAUCCAUAACAUCCUCAUUCUCUGACACUGGUACCAUCCCACAUACGCUCCUCAUUAUCUGACACUGGUACCAUCCCACAUACGCUCCUCAUCCAUAACAUCCUCAUUCUCUGACACUGGUACCAUCCCACAUACGCUCCCCAUCCAUAACAUCCUCAUUCUCUGACACCGGUACCAUCCCACAAUCGCUCCUCAUCCAUAACAUCCUCAUUCUCUGACACCGGUACCACCCCAUAUACGCUCCUCAUCCAUAACAUCCUCAUUCUCUGACACUGGUACCAUCCCACAUACACUCCUCAUCCAUAACAUCCUCAUUCUCUGACACUGGUACCAUCCCAUAUACGCUCCUCAUCCAUAACAUCCUAAUUCUCUGACACUGGUACCAUCCCACAUACACUCCUCAUCCAUAACAUCCUCAUUCUCUGACACUGGUACCAUCCCAUAUACGCUCCUCAUCCAUAACAUCCUCAUUCUCUGACACUGGUAUCAUCUCACAUAUGCUCCUCAUCUUCAUCCCCAAUACACUCUCCAACAUCUCUCCUGUGAAGGAGAAAUUAAUGAUUAUUUGUCUCCCUCUGCUGUUUUUGUACCCCAACAGCAUUUAUUUCUGUUAAUGUUGAAUGGUCAAGUCAUGUUUGCAAAUGUGUACAUACUAAGUGCUGUUGUAUAUUUUACAUGUGUUUUGUGUGCAUUUAUAAUGUAGCCUACCUGUAAAAUUGAAACAAUUCAUUUGAAUAUCGUCACUUCACUGACAACACAUUAUCCACACACGAAACAUAUAUUUGACACAGAGAGAUAAUUUGUAUCAUUUUUUCAAAACGUUUCAGAAAGAGUAAAUAAAGAAAUAUUACAAAGGAA
Long non-coding RNA from Oncorhynchus kisutch (coho salmon), 3328 nucleotides. RefSeq lists it as uncharacterized. The record is from RefSeq and is a predicted model, not a curated record. NCBI's taxonomy places the organism in Eukaryota, Metazoa, Chordata, Actinopteri, Salmoniformes, Salmonidae. The transcript is spliced from 3 exons.